This 331-nucleotide ribosomal RNA is filed under the name uncultured eukaryote. Its description in RNAcentral is "partial 18S ribosomal RNA". It matches the Rfam family "Eukaryotic small subunit ribosomal RNA", at positions 1470 to 1796 of the family's 1831-position model. The record is from RNAcentral.
CCCUUAGAUGUUCUGGGCCGCACGCGCGCUACACUGACGAAGUCAGCGAGCAUGUCCUACGCCGACAGGUGCGGGGAAUCUUGUCAAACUUCGUCGUGAUGGGGAUUGAUUUUUGAAAUUCUUGAUCAUAAACGAGGAAUUCCUAGUAAGCGCAAGUCAGCAGCUUGCGUUGAUUACGUCCCUGCCCUUUGUACACACCGCCCGUCGCUACUACCGAUUGAAUGGUUUAGUGAGAUCUUCGGAUUGGCGCCACUGCAGCUCAGCAAUGGGCUUGGUGGAUGCCGAAAAGUUGAUCAAACUUGAUCAUUUAGAGGAAGUAAACGUCGUAACA